RNAcentral lists this ribosomal RNA (439 nucleotides) under uncultured bacterium. RNAcentral's name for it is "partial 16S ribosomal RNA". It matches the Rfam family "Bacterial small subunit ribosomal RNA", at positions 339 to 795 of the family's 1533-position model. The record is from RNAcentral.
CUACGGGUUGCACCAGUGGGGAAUAUUGCACAAUGGAGGAAACUCUGAUGCAGCAACGCCGCGUGGAGGAUGACACUUUUCGGAGCGUAAACUCCUUUUAUAUAGGAAGAAGAUGACGGUACUAUAUGAAUAAGCGCCGGCUAACUCCGUGCCAGCAGCCGCGGUAAUACGGAGGGCGCAAGCGUUACUCGGAAUCACUGGGCGUAAAGAGCGUGUAGGCGGAUUAAAAAGUCAGAAGUGAAAUCCUAUAGCUUAACUAUAGAACUGCUUCUGAAACUCUUAAUCUAGAAUAUGGGAGAGGUAGAUGGAAUUUCUGGUGUAGGGGUAAAAUCCGUAGAGAUCAGAAGGAAUACCGAUUGCGAAGGCGAUCUACUAGAACAUUAUUGACGCUGAGACGCGAAGGUGUGGGUAUCAAACAGGAUUAGAUACCCCCGUAGUC